This is a long non-coding RNA of Labeo rohita (rohu), 367 nucleotides long. RefSeq lists it as uncharacterized. The record is from RefSeq and is a predicted model, not a curated record. NCBI's taxonomy places the organism in Eukaryota, Metazoa, Chordata, Actinopteri, Cypriniformes, Cyprinidae. The transcript has 4 exons.
AGUUUUGUCUGGUGAAAAUACUGCAGGGCAACAUGUCCUCUUCAGAAAGUCGCUUUGUGUUUCUAAGCACGUUAUCCAGUCUGCCACGUAAUGGGAGUGCUAAAGCACGUGGCUUCGGAUGACUUGCGCCAUAAUUGUUUCUUUCACUUACAGGAAGAAUGAAGUCCCCAGCUGCAAAAAUGUUGUGGCUAAGAGAUGUACGAAGACCAGUAAGUCCAGUUGGUGGCAUGUUUGGAACGGGCUCUUGUUUCUGCACUAAUGUUCAAAUGUAAUUUUGAAACUCUUAAUAUAGUGUUACAAUAUGUAUGCACUUCUGGUUGGAUAUUUGGAUGUGUUUUUUCAAUAAAAAUGUGAACAGAACCUUAAA